Falco peregrinus (peregrine falcon) is the source of this 253-nucleotide long non-coding RNA. RefSeq lists it as uncharacterized. NCBI's taxonomy places the organism in Eukaryota, Metazoa, Chordata, Aves, Falconiformes, Falconidae. The record is from RefSeq and is a predicted model, not a curated record. The transcript has 3 exons.
CAGCCCAAACUAUGACAGAAGACGUAAUUCUCCAUGUAGAAACUAGGAAGAGGAUUUCUCUGAAACAAGUUCUAUGGACCUUGUAGCAUGGUGUGAUCAACGAACUCAAAUACUAAGCAUCCCAGAACUGCAAGAAAAAGAGACGUGGAACGAUCCCCUCUCCAGUAAUAAGGCUCAGCCUGGUCACUCAGGUUCCAGGGAGUUUCUGAAAGCACGUGUCUCCCCACGCCUCAGCUGCAGCAUCCAAAAAGUG